RNAcentral lists this ribosomal RNA (730 nucleotides) under uncultured bacterium. Its description in RNAcentral is "bacterial SSU rRNA". It matches the Rfam family "Bacterial small subunit ribosomal RNA", at positions 96 to 810 of the family's 1533-position model. The record is from RNAcentral.
UGGCGGACGGGUGAGUAACACGUGGGUUAACCUGCCUAAAAGAAGGGGAUAACACUUGGAAACAGGUGCUAAUACCGUAUAUCUCUAAGGAUCGCAUGAAUCCUUAGAUGAAAGAUGGUUCUGCUAUCGCUUUUAGAUGGACCCGCGGCGUAUUAACUAGUUGGUGGGGUAACGGCCUACCAAGGUGAUGAUACGUAGCCGAACUGAGAGGUUGAUCGGCCACAUUGGGACUGAGACACGGCCCAAACUCCUACGGGAGGCAGCAGUAGGGAAUCUUCCACAAUGGACGCAAGUCUGAUGGAGCAACGCCGCGUGAGUGAAGAAGGUCUUCGGAUCGUAAAACUCUGUUGUUAGAGAAGAACACGAGUGAGAGUAACUGUUCAUUCGAUGACGGUAUCUAACCAGCAAGUCACGGCUAACUACGUGCCAGCAGCCGCGGUAAUACGUAGGUGGCAAGCGUUGUCCGGAUUUAUUGGGCGUAAAGGGAACGCAGGCGGUCUUUUAAGUCUGAUGUGAAAGCCUUCGGCUUAACCGGAGUAGUGCAUUGGAAACUGGAAGACUUGAGUGCAGAAGAGGAGAGUGGAACUCCAUGUGUAGCGGUGAAAUGCGUAGAUAUAUGGAAGAACACCAGUGGCGAAAGCGGCUCUCUGGUCUGUAACUGACGCUGAGGUUCGAAAGCGUGGGUAGCAAACAGGGAUUAGAUACCCUGGUAGUCCACGCCGUAAACGAU